RNAcentral lists this ribosomal RNA (468 nucleotides) under uncultured bacterium. Its description in RNAcentral is "partial 16S ribosomal RNA". It matches the Rfam family "Bacterial small subunit ribosomal RNA", at positions 28 to 507 of the family's 1533-position model. The record is from RNAcentral.
GACGAACGCUGGCGGCGUGCUUAACACAUGCCAGUCGAACGGAAAGGCCCUGCUUUGGUGGGGUGCGCGAGUGGCGAACGGGUGAGAAACACGUGAGUAACCUGCCCCUGACUUUGGGAUAACUUCAGGAAACUGGGGCUAAUACCGGAUAGGAGCUCCUGCUGCAUGGUGGGGGUUGGAAAGUUUCGGCGGUUGGGGAUGGACUCGCGGCUUAUCUGCUUGUUGGUGGGGUAGUGGCUUACCAAGGCUUUGACGGGUAGCCGGCCUGAGAGGGUGACCGGCAACAUUGGGACUGAGAUACGCCCCAGACUCCUACGGGAGGCAGCAGUGGGGAAUAUUGCACAAUGGGCGGAGGCCUGAUGCAGCAACGCCGCGUGCGGGAUGACGGCCUUCGGGUUGUAACCCGCUUUCGCCUGUGACGAAGCGUGAGUGACGGUAAUAGGUAAAGAAGCACCGGCUAACUACGUG